CGGGGUGUAGCGCAGUUGGUAGCGCGCCUGCUUUGGGAGCAGGAUGUCGCAGGUUCGAAUCCUGUCACUCCGACCA
This 76-nucleotide transfer RNA is filed under the name Clostridia bacterium. RNAcentral describes it as "tRNA-Pro". It matches the Rfam family "tRNA". Rfam says of the family: Transfer RNA (tRNA) molecules are approximately 80 nucleotides in length. Their secondary structure includes four short double-helical elements and three loops (D, anti-codon, and T loops). Further hydrogen bonds mediate the characteristic L-shaped molecular structure. tRNAs have two regions of fundamental functional importance: the anti-codon, which is responsible for specific mRNA codon recognition, and the 3' end, to which the tRNAs corresponding amino acid is attached (by aminoacyl-tRNA synthetases). tRNAs cope with the degeneracy of the genetic code in two manners: having more than one tRNA (with a specific anti-codon) for a particular amino acid; and 'wobble' base-pairing, i.e. permitting non-standard base-pairing at the 3rd anti-codon position. Lineage: Bacteria; Bacillati; Bacillota; Clostridia. The record is from RNAcentral. RNAcentral also lists the same sequence under 1 other name.